UUGGCUUUCCUGCUCAAGACUGGUAUUUUACCCAAGCCAUACUGCUAGUCCAGUAUUUUACUGAUUAACUGGAAAUCGAAUCUUUUCUGCAUAGGCUGGCUUUGAAUAGGAACCUUGAGAUGCUUAAGACUCCUCUGAGUAGCUGGGAUUACAGGCAAGAAUCCUAGGCACCUGGCAAGGGUACUUGUUUUUAUUAGCAUGUUAGUUGUAUAAGAAGGGGUUUCAUUGAGACAUUUCCACAGAAAUAUUCAAUGUAUCUCAUCAACCUUACCUCAAAAUUUGUAUUUUAACAAAGUCCAGUUUAUCAGUUUCUCCCUUUAUGGAACAGGCUUCUUGUAUCUUGUAUCUAAGAACUCUGCCCAGCCUAAUAUAUUUUUUUCUCACUAGAAGUUUUGCAUUUAAGUCCCUCAGUUACUUUUUACAUGAGGAGGCAAGUUUAGGGUAGGUUCCCUUUAUGCCUAUGGAGUACCAUCACUCCAGCACCAUUUGCUGAAAGGUUGUCCUCCCUCCACUUAACUACUUUUCUGUACCUUUGACCAACAUCAGAGAGUGGUUCUGUGUGGUCUGCUUCUGGGUACACAAUUCUCUUCCUCAAUCUGUGUCAAGUCUCUCUGCUCUUUUGGAUGCAGGAAUAAUACUUGAAAUCAGGCACCUUAAGUGCUCUCAUUUCUUUUUUUCAAGUCUUGCUGAGAAUUCAACAGAAAUUGUUAGCCAUUCAU
Long non-coding RNA from Perognathus longimembris pacificus (Pacific pocket mouse), 719 nucleotides. RefSeq lists it as uncharacterized. The transcript is spliced from 3 exons. Lineage: Eukaryota; Metazoa; Chordata; Mammalia; Rodentia; Heteromyidae. The record is from RefSeq and is a predicted model, not a curated record.